GUGGAAUGGGAGGAGGUCGCGCUGUCCAUGGGCGUCCUUGGCCUGCGCCACCCAGAGAUGAUAAAUAGCCAAAGACGUCAAUGGCACCCAUGGACAUAGUAAGCAUAGUAGGAGCUGAAAAACUAGAAGCAAUGACAAUGUCAACUAUUUUGAGCAAAAAGAAGCAGUGUCUUCGGAACAUUUGAUCAUAAAACCAGACAUUAAAGGAUGAGAAAAACAUUUUUCUGAAGCUGAUACUUUCACAUUUCCUACAGAGCAUAUUUGUAUGGAUGGGGGUGGGUAAACACUCAACAAAAGUUUCUUUAAAAAGAAGAAACCAUCCUGGUUUGAUGUAAUCAACAGUUGCCCACUGCUCCCUUCCUGUGCCUAUGACCCUUCCCAAACUGCCCUGUUGCUUGCAGGCUUGCCUGAGCUGAAAGGCAGCCCUCACACCCCAUCGGUACCUCCCUGGGGCCUUCUUUACACCCUGGAGAACUUCAUAGGGAAUCUGUAUCUGUAACACAAAGGCUUCCUGGUCCAGAUGUAGAUACUAAGGCUGACUGGUUAUUUAAGUCCUGUGGACUUACUCUGCCAAAAUUAUUUAAUCAUGUAAAAAUAAUUUAUAAUUCUUAUAAAGUAUCCCCUUCAUAAGAUAAUGAAUGUUGGGGUUAUUGCAUUUAAGUGCACAUGUACAGUAUACAAGAUUAUUAAUAAUAAUGUUUUCAAAUAGUUAUUGUCAAAGCUAUUUUUCUUAUGUUUAUGAAAGUGCUUAUAAAAUUCAUGUUUUAUGAGGCUGGAGAUGUGUAUUUUGUAAUUUCAUUCUGAUAUUUGUUAAUAUUCACUUCCAAUGCUCGUUUUGGUUGAUGAGACUGACAUUGCCUAAUUUCAAGCUUUUUGAAUGUGUAUUCUUUCAGGGCAAGUAUGAAAUAACUAGUAAAAAAUAUACAAAUAUGCUUAACAAUAAGUAGACUUUCUCACAUUGAUUACUUACAACAGCUUUAUGUGGGGUGAAUCAGAUGCCUGUAUUACAGAAGCAUCUAAUGCAAAGCAAAAUAAAAACACUUGCAUGAGCGCACAGAGGUAGGUGUGGAAGAAAGUGAAACACUAUUUUAGGUUUUAGUUACACUCUGCUGUGGUGUGCUGCCUAGUAUUUGCAUUAACCUGCAAAUACUAGGGGUUAUGAAUUGUUUCUAAGUCUAUUAUUAAAAAUAGCCUUGCUUCAUUUCUUCCUAAAAUGGAGACAAAUAUGUAUAGUGUCUGUGUUACCA
RNAcentral lists this long non-coding RNA (1247 nucleotides) under Pan troglodytes (chimpanzee). RNAcentral describes it as "long non-coding RNA NONPTRT013414". The record is from RNAcentral. Lineage: Eukaryota; Metazoa; Chordata; Mammalia; Primates; Hominidae.